This 253-nucleotide ribosomal RNA is filed under the name uncultured bacterium. RNAcentral's name for it is "partial 16S ribosomal RNA". It matches the Rfam family "Bacterial small subunit ribosomal RNA", at positions 524 to 776 of the family's 1533-position model. The record is from RNAcentral.
UACGGAGGGUGCGAGCGUUGUCCGGAUUUACUGGGCGUAAAGAGCGUGUAGGCGGCCAAGCAGGUCCGUUGUGAAAACUGGAGGCUUAACCUCCAGACGUCGACGGAAACCGCGCGGCUAGAGUCCGGAAGAGGAGAGUGGAAUUCCUGGUGUAGCGGUGAAAUGCGCAGAUAUCAGGAAGAACACCAAUGGCGAAGGCAGCUCUCUGGGACGGGACUGACGCUGAGACGCGAAAGCGUGGGGAGCGAACAGG